This is a non-coding RNA of Argiope bruennichi, 73 nucleotides long. NCBI's taxonomy places the organism in Eukaryota, Metazoa, Arthropoda, Arachnida, Araneae, Araneidae. The record is from the annotation of a RefSeq genome assembly.
GCCAUCAUAGCUCAGUGGCUAGAGCACUGGUCUUGUAAACCAGAGGCCAUGAGUUCAAUGCUCACUGGUGGAU